CUCCUCCAGGGCCAGAUGAUCCUAUCAGCAA
RNAcentral lists this non-coding RNA (31 nucleotides) under Homo sapiens (human). Lineage: Eukaryota; Metazoa; Chordata; Mammalia; Primates; Hominidae. The record is from RNAcentral.